Molecule: ribosomal RNA, 588 nt
Filed under: uncultured bacterium
Lineage: Bacteria
Description: partial 16S ribosomal RNA
Rfam family: Bacterial small subunit ribosomal RNA
Source: RNAcentral
UGGGGAAUUUUGGACAAUGGGCGCAAGCCUGAUCCAGCCAUGCCGCGUGCGGGAAGAAGGCCUUCGGGUUGUAAACCGCUUUUGUCAGGGAAGAAAUCUUCUGAGUUAAUACCUCGGGAGGAUGACGGUACCUGAAGAAUAAGCACCGGCUAACUACGUGCCAGCAGCCGCGGUAAUACGUAGGGUGCAAGCGUUAAUCGGAAUUACUGGGCGUAAAGCGUGCGCAGGCGGUUUUGUAAGACAGAGGUGAAAUCCCCGGGCUCAACCUGGGAACUGCCUUUGUGACUGCAAGGCUUGAGUGCGGCAGAGGGGGAUGGAAUUCCGCGUGUAGCAGUGAAAUGCGUAGAUAUGCGGAGGAACACCGAUGGCGAAGGCAAUCCCCUGGGCCUGCACUGACGCUCAUGCACGAAAAGCGUGGGGAGCAAAACAGGAUUAGAUACCCUGGUAGUCCACGCCCUAAAACGAUGUCAACUGGUUGUUGGGAAGGUUCCUUCUCAGUAACGUAGCUAACGCGUGAAGUUGACCGCCUGGGGAGUACGGCCGCAAGGUUGAAAACUCAAAUGAAUUGACGGGGUCAUAGCUGUUUCC